UGCCAGCAGCCGCGGUAAUACAUAGGGGUCAAGCGUUGUCCGGAUUUAUUGGGCGUAAAGCGCGCGUAGGCGGAUUGGAAAGUUGGGGGUGAAAUCCCGAGGCUCAACCUCGGAACUGCCUCCAAAACUCCCAGUCUAGAGUUCGAGAGAGGUGAGUGGAAUUCCAAGUGUAGAGGUGAAAUUCGUAGAUAUUUGGAGGAACACCAGUGGCGAAGGCGGCUCACUGGCUCGAUACUGACGCUGAGGUGCGAAAGUGUGGGGAGCAAACAGGAUUAGAUA
Molecule: ribosomal RNA, 279 nt
Filed under: uncultured bacterium
Lineage: Bacteria
Description: partial 16S ribosomal RNA
Rfam family: Bacterial small subunit ribosomal RNA
Source: RNAcentral